UACGUAGGUGACAAGCGUUGUCCGGAUUUACUGGGCGUAAAGAGCGCGCAGGCGGUCGAUCAAGUCGAGUGUGAAAGCCCCCGGCUCAACUGGGGAGGGUCAUUCGAUACUGAUCGACUCGAAGGCAGGAGAGGGUAGUGGAAUUCCCGGUGUAGUGGUGAAAUGCGAAGAUAUCGGGAGGAACACCAGUGGCGAAGGCGACUACCUGGCCUGUUCUUGACGCUGAGGCGCGAAAGCUAGGGGAGCAAACGGG
This 253-nucleotide ribosomal RNA is filed under the name uncultured bacterium. RNAcentral's name for it is "partial 16S ribosomal RNA". It matches the Rfam family "Bacterial small subunit ribosomal RNA", at positions 524 to 776 of the family's 1533-position model. The record is from RNAcentral.